CUGGCGGCAGGCUUAACACAUGCAAGUCGAACGGUAGCAGGAGAAAGCUUGCUUUCUUGCUGACGAGUGGCGGACGGGUGAGUAAUGCUUGGGAAUCUGGCUUAUGGAGGGGGAUAACGACGGGAAACUGUCGCUAAUACCGCGUAUUAUCGGAAGAUGAAAGUGCGGGACUGAGAGGCCGCAUGCCAUAGGAUGAGCCCAAGUGGGAUUAGGUAGUUGGUGGGGUAAAUGCCUACCAAGCCUGCGAUCUCUAGCUGGUCUGAGAGGAUGACCAGCCACACUGGAACUGAGACACGGUCCAGACUCCUACGGGAGGCAGCAGUGGGGAAUAUUGCGCAAUGGGGGGAACCCUGACGCAGCCAUGCCGCGUGAAUGAAGAAGGCCUUCGGGUUGUAAAGUUCUUUCGGUAUUGAGGAAGGUUGAUGUGUUAAUA
RNAcentral lists this ribosomal RNA (433 nucleotides) under Haemophilus influenzae. RNAcentral's name for it is "bacterial SSU rRNA". It matches the Rfam family "Bacterial small subunit ribosomal RNA", at positions 36 to 465 of the family's 1533-position model. Lineage: Bacteria; Pseudomonadati; Pseudomonadota; Gammaproteobacteria; Pasteurellales; Pasteurellaceae. The record is from RNAcentral.